CUACGUGCCAGCAGCCGCGGUAAUACGGAGGGUGCGAGCGUUAAUCGGAAUAACUGGGCGUAAAGGGCACGCAGGCGGUGACUUAAGUGAGGUGUGAAAGCCCCGGGCUUAACCUGGGAAUUGCAUUUCAUACUGGGUCGCUAGAGUACUUUAGGGAGGGGUAGAAUUCCACGUGUAGCGGUGAAAUGCGUAGAGAUGUGGAGGAAUACCGAAGGCGAAGGCAGCCCCUUGGGAAUGUACUGACGCUCAUGUGCGAAAGCGUGGGGAGCAAACAGGAUUAGAUACCCUGGUAGUCCACGCUGUAAACGAUGUCGAUUUGGGGGUUGAGCUUUAAGUUUGGCGCCCGUAGCUAACGUGAUAAAUCGACCGCCUGGGGAGUACGGCCGCAAGGUUAAAACUCAAAUGAAUUGACGGGGGCCCGCACAAGCGGUGGAGCAUGUGGUUUAAUUCGAUGCAACGCGAAGAACCUUACCUACUCUUGACAUCCAGAGAAC
Molecule: ribosomal RNA, 494 nt
Filed under: uncultured bacterium
Lineage: Bacteria
Description: bacterial SSU rRNA
Rfam family: Bacterial small subunit ribosomal RNA
Source: RNAcentral